GCGGACACGUACGCAACCUUCCUUUAAGUGGGGAAUAGCCCAGGGAAACUUGGAUUAAUACCCCGUAACACUAUGAGAUGGCAUCAUUUUAUAGUUAAAGCUACGGCGCUUAAAGAUGGGCGUGCGGCUGAUUAGGUAGUUGGCGGAGUAACAGCCCACCAAGCCAACGAUCAGUAACUGGUGUGAGAGCACGACCAGUCACACGGGCACUGAGACACGGGCCCG
Molecule: ribosomal RNA, 225 nt
Filed under: uncultured bacterium
Lineage: Bacteria
Description: partial 16S ribosomal RNA
Rfam family: Bacterial small subunit ribosomal RNA
Source: RNAcentral